RNAcentral lists this small nuclear RNA (122 nucleotides) under Erinaceus europaeus (western European hedgehog). RNAcentral describes it as "U2 spliceosomal RNA (ENSEEUG00000023103.1)". It matches the Rfam family "U2 spliceosomal RNA", at positions 37 to 162 of the family's 192-position model. From Rfam's summary of the family: U2 is a small nuclear RNA (snRNA) component of the spliceosome (involved in pre-mRNA splicing). Complementary binding between U2 snRNA (in an area lying towards the 5' end but 3' to hairpin I) and the branchpoint sequence (BPS) of the intron results the bulging out of an unpaired adenosine, on the BPS, which initiates a nucleophilic attack at the intronic 5' splice site, thus starting the first of two transesterification reactions that mediate splicing. Lineage: Eukaryota; Metazoa; Chordata; Mammalia; Eulipotyphla; Erinaceidae. The record is from RNAcentral.
UAUCUGUUAUCAGUUUAAUAUCUGAUACAUCCUCUAUCCGAAGACAGUAUGUUUAAUGGACUUCUGGAAUUAGGAGAUGAAACAAGAGCUUGCUAUGUCCACUCCAUGUAUCGACCUGGGAA